RNAcentral lists this ribosomal RNA (253 nucleotides) under uncultured bacterium. RNAcentral describes it as "partial 16S ribosomal RNA". It matches the Rfam family "Bacterial small subunit ribosomal RNA", at positions 524 to 776 of the family's 1533-position model. The record is from RNAcentral.
UACGUAGGUGGCAAGCGUUGUCCGGAUUUACUGGGCGUAAAGAGCGCGUAGGCGGUUUGUUAAGUCGGAUGUGAAAGCCCCCGGCUCAACUGGGGAGGGUCAUUCGAUACUGUCCGACUCGAAGGCAGGAGAGGGAAGCGGAAUUCCCGGUGUAGUGGUGAAAUGCGUAGAUAUCGGGAGGAACACCAGUGGCGAAGGCGGCUUUCUGGCCUGUUCUUGACGCUGAGGCGCGAAAGCCAGGGGAGCAAACGGG